Molecule: ribosomal RNA, 913 nt
Filed under: uncultured bacterium
Lineage: Bacteria
Description: bacterial SSU rRNA
Rfam family: Bacterial small subunit ribosomal RNA
Source: RNAcentral
GUUUGAUCCUGGCUCAGGACGAACGCUGGCGGCGUGCUUAACACAUGCAAGUCGAGCGGAAAGGCUCCUUCGGGGGUACUCGAGCGGCGAACGGGUGAGUAACACGUGAGUAAUCUGCCCUUCACUUUGGGAUAGCUCCCGGAAACGGGGAUUAAUACCGGAUAUGACCAUGGGUCGCAUGAUCUUGUGGUGGAAAGUUUUUCGGUGGGGGAUGUGCUCGCGGCCUAUCAGCUUGUUGGUGGGGUAAUGGCCUACCAAGGCUUCGACGGGUAGCCGGCCUGAGAGGGUGACCGGCCACACUGGGACUGAGACACGGCCCAGACUCCUACGGGAGGCAGCAGUGGGGAAUAUUGGACAAUGGGCGGAAGCCUGAUCCAGCAACGCCGCGUGAGGGAUGACGGCCUUCGGGUUGUAAACCUCUUUCAGCACCGGCGAAGCUGCUCCUUACCUUUGGGUGGGGGUGGUGACGGUAGGUGCAGAAGAAGGACCGGCCAACUACGUGCCAGCAGCCGCGGUAAUACGUAGGGUCCGAGCGUUGUCCGGAAUUAUUGGGCGUAAAGGGCUCGUAGGCGGUUUGUCGCGUCAGGAGUGAAAUCACCGGGCUUAACUCGGUGCUUGCUUUCGAUACGGGCAGACUGGAGGCAUUCAGGGGAGAACGGAAUUCCUGGUGUAGCGGUGAAAUGCGCAGAUAUCAGGAGGAACACCGGUGGCGAAGGCGGUUCUCUGGGAAUGUCCUGACGCUGAGGAGCGAAAGUGUGGGGAGCGAACAGGAUUAGAUACCCUGGUAGUCCACACCGUAAACGUUGGGCGCUAGGUGUGGGAUCCAUUCCACGGGUUCCGUGCCGUAGCUAACGCAUUAAGCGCCCCGCCUGGGGAGUACGGCCGCAAGGCUAAAACUCAAAGGAAUUGACGG